UACGUAGGACCCCAAGCGUUGUCCGGAUUUACUGGGUGUAAAGGGUGCGCGGGCGGAUCUGUGCGUCGAGGGUUAAAUAUCCAGGCUCAACCUGGAAAAUGCCCUCGAUACGGCAGGUCUUGAGUACGAGAGAGGAUAGUAGAAUUCCUGGUGUAGCGGUGAAAUGCGUAGAUACCAGGAGGAAUACCAGUGGCGAAGGCGGCUAUCUGGCUCGUAACUGACGCUUAGGCACGAAAGCGUGGGGAGCAAACAGGAUUAG
RNAcentral lists this ribosomal RNA (259 nucleotides) under uncultured bacterium. RNAcentral describes it as "partial 16S ribosomal RNA". It matches the Rfam family "Bacterial small subunit ribosomal RNA", at positions 524 to 781 of the family's 1533-position model. The record is from RNAcentral.